AUGAAGCGAGUAUUCAAAUGGAAGAAAAAUUCAUAUGAUGGGCUGAUUGAUCCUGUUCGCAGCAACAUCUGGGACGAGUCAAACCUGUCUGCUAUAAAAGAAAUCAUGGAGAACUCUUUCAUUUUCAGAAUUUGGAUGUUCAAUCUCUUAGGUUCUGCUCUGGGUGACUCGGUCCAGUCCAGGGAGCCUGAAGUUUCUAAAUCAGAAGGAAACACUGUGUCGCUCAGUUGUUCUUAUGAUACCAGCUCUAGUGAUGUCUAUCUGUACUGGUACCGGCAGUAUCCGCACCAAGCCCCGCAGUACAUUCUCUGGAGAGGAGCGAAGUCCUACCGAGAUCUCAGUGACACCGCAGCUUUCGCCCAGAAGAGGUUUUCUUCCCAGGCUGAUGACAGCUCGACAGUUCUGAACAUCACAGCCCUGGAGCUGGCAGACACAGCGGUGUAUCUCUGCGCCCUGCAGAAGGCACAGUGA
Non-coding RNA from Trachemys scripta elegans, 471 nucleotides. The record is from the annotation of a RefSeq genome assembly. Lineage: Eukaryota; Metazoa; Chordata; Testudines; Emydidae.